This 434-nucleotide ribosomal RNA is filed under the name uncultured Clostridium sp. Its description in RNAcentral is "partial 16S ribosomal RNA". It matches the Rfam family "Bacterial small subunit ribosomal RNA", at positions 341 to 792 of the family's 1533-position model. The record is from RNAcentral. Lineage: Bacteria; Bacillati; Bacillota; Clostridia; Eubacteriales; Clostridiaceae.
ACGGAAGGCAGCAGUGGGGAAUAUUGCACAAUGGGCGAAAGCCUGAUGCAGCGACGCCGCGUGAGUGAAGAAGUAUCUCGGUAUGUAAAGCUCUAUCAGCAGGGAAGAAAAUGACGGUACCUGACUAAGAAGCCCCGGCUAACUACGUGCCAGCAGCCGCGGUAAUACGUAGGGGGCAAGCGUUAUCCGGAUUUACUGGGUGUAAAGGGAGCGUAGACGGCUUUGCAAGUCUGAAGUGAAAGCCCGGGGCUCAACCCCGGAACUGCUUUGGAAACUGUAGAGCUGGAGUGCAGGAGAGGUAAGUGGAAUUCCUAGUGUAGCGGUGAAAUGCGUAGAUAUUAGGAGGAACACCAGUGGCGAAGGCGGCUUACUGGACUGUAACUGACGUUGAGGCUCGAAGGCGUGGGGAGCAAACAGGAUUAGAUACCCUGGUA